RNAcentral lists this ribosomal RNA (370 nucleotides) under uncultured organism. RNAcentral's name for it is "bacterial SSU rRNA". It matches the Rfam family "Bacterial small subunit ribosomal RNA", at positions 526 to 896 of the family's 1533-position model. The record is from RNAcentral.
CGUAGGGUGCGAGCGUUAAUCGGAAUUACUGGGCGUAAAGCGUGCGCAGGCGGUUUUGUAAGACAGAUGUGAAAUCCCCGGGCUCAACCUGGGACCUGCAUUUGUGACUGCAAGGCUAGAGUACGGUAGAGGGGGAUGGAAUUCCGCGUGUAGCAGUGAAAUGCGUAGAUAUGCGGAGGAACACCGAUGGCGAAGGCAAUCCCCUGGACCUGUACUGACGCUCAUGCACGAAAGCGUGGGAGCAAACAGGAUUAGAUACCCUGGUAGUCCACGCCCUAAACGAUGUCAACUGGUUGUUGGGUCUUUACUGACUCAGUAACGAAGCUAACGCGUGAAGUUGACCGCCUGGGGAGUACGGCCGACAAGGUUG